This 470-nucleotide ribosomal RNA is filed under the name uncultured bacterium. RNAcentral describes it as "bacterial SSU rRNA". It matches the Rfam family "Bacterial small subunit ribosomal RNA", at positions 335 to 797 of the family's 1533-position model. The record is from RNAcentral.
ACUCCUACGGGAGGCAGCAGUGGGGAAUAUUGCACAAUGGGCGCAAGCCUGAUGCAGCCAUGCCGCGUGUGUGAAGAAGGCCUUCGGGUUGUAAAGCACUUUCAGCAGUGAGGAAGGCGGAGUCGUUAAUAGCGGCCUCGUUUGACGUUAGCUGCAGAAGAAGCACCGGCUAACUCCGUGCCAGCAGCCGCGGUAAUACGGAGGGUGCGAGCGUUAAUCGGAAUUACUGGGCGUAAAGCGCAUGCAGGUGGUUUGUUAAGUCAGAUGUGAAAGCCCGGGGCUCAACCUCGGAAUAGCAUUUGAAACUGGCAGACUAGAGUACUGUAGAGGGGGGUAGAAUUUCAGGUGUAGCGGUGAAAUGCGUAGAGAUCUGAAGGAAUACCGGUGGCGAAGGCGGCCCCCUGGACAGAUACUGACACUCAGAUGCGAAAGCGUGGGGAGCAAACAGGAUUAGAUACCCUGGUAGGAUA